UGAUUUACAACACAAUGGAAAUAAAAAGCUGAAGGAUUGACUGUUAGUUCAUCAACUUUAAGGUAAUUUUGCUAUAUAUUGUUUUUUACAAUAUUUGGAAAUGUUGACAUUAUGAGACAGAUUCAAGUCAUUGAUUAAACCAACGAACACAUCACAGAAUCCACCAAACCCACUAGUAAUAGUGCUGUUUUUUUCCUCUAAAAUGAUGUCAUUUCCUGGAGAAUAAUGUCUUCCUCUUAGUUAGUUAAAGGGAUAUUACAGAUUUUAGUUAUGUUGUAACUACACCUUCCAUCUGCAACUUUCUCCAGCCAAAACAGCAAAUUAUUGUAUUACAGUUGUUGUCAAAACAUGUAAAUGAUUAUUAAUUAAAACUAAAAUUAUUUCCAUUUUUACGAAUUUUGAGUGUAAUGCUUUUUUUCAGUAUUAUAAGAUAUAUACUGCAUGAUGGUGAUGAAAAUAUAUAAAAUACAUGAAUGGAAAUAGCAUCACUGCAUUCUUUCAGAUACUUGCAGCAAUGCUUCUAGCCGUUCCUUCACCCUCUCCUCACCCAGAACACACACACGUCAGAAUCUGUCUUCAUCUGCAUCACUUGUGUCCCAGCCGCUCCAUCCGUCAAAGCCAGAUCUCAUCCUCUGUGCCAACCCGGAGAAAUGGAGGAGGAGCCAAGGAACUAGCUGAAAGACAGAGAGAAGGCAGAUCCAUGAGAUGGAAAAGUCCUGUAAUCACAGAUGAAGUGUAUCGGCUGUCACUGUCAAAACCCACCCCGGAGUUUGACUCACGUAGCCUGACUGACCAACCCGCUGACCCCUGGACCCGAAGACAUCACAAAUGAGAUCUCUCUUUAAUAUCUCAGUUGCUUCUCUUACACAGAAACAACGAUGCCAGAGAUACCGACGUCUGAACACCCUUUAGUCAACCCACCAGUGCUUUAGAAAUCAAACAGAGCACAGCAGCAAAUGCAUAUCAACACAAAAACGUUAUAAAAAGUAUAACAUUUUGAAAUGUUUCUAAAACACUGACAUGGUUAGAAUGUUAUUUGAAGGUUACAAAAACGUUUCUUACAACAUUCUUCUAACCUUAUUUUCACCCAAAAUGUAAUUGAA
Long non-coding RNA from Cyprinus carpio carpio, 1103 nucleotides. The record is from Ensembl. Lineage: Eukaryota; Metazoa; Chordata; Actinopteri; Cypriniformes; Cyprinidae.